Molecule: small RNA, 737 nt
Filed under: Malus domestica (apple)
Lineage: Eukaryota; Viridiplantae; Streptophyta; Magnoliopsida; Rosales; Rosaceae
Description: sRNA MD12G0145100
Source: RNAcentral
UUCCAGUGACUCUAAAUAGGUCCAAGAACUCACUAAAUAGGUUGUUGAAUUUUGAAUUCGGAAUUCCCUUUCGAAACUGUCACUAGCGAUGUGUCUGCUGUGGCUACAGGAAUCAAAGGCGAGUGAAAGUGUUUGCUAAGGCGCUUCUCGAGACGGCAUUGGAACGUGCAGGGUGAUGAGGAUUCAGGGGAUGAGGAGGAAAAUGGCAAAGGAGGAGGACCAAACGCGCUCUCUGUUAGGAUAAUUGGUGCCCUAAAUGCCAAAAAGUCUGCACUCACCACUCAUUAAUUAUAUGGUGAAAGUUUUUAUGCAACCUCAUUACUUGCAAAAUUUUGUUCAGUCAACAUUCAAUGCCCUGCCAUCAGAUCAAGUUAAGGGUUAUUCUCAAUCCUCAGAUAGUGAUUAUUUAACGACUUCUCCAAACUUGGCUACUCAGCUUUUCAAAUACAAAGCUGCGGAUGAAAGAGGAGCCAGAUGAGCUAAAAUCGGGGGCAAGAUUUGUGUGAACUGCAUGUUGCUUCUGUUUAUUAGGGAAACAAAACGUUUCAGUUUUGUCCUGUUAAUUGUACAAUGUCUGUUCAUGUCAGCUAAGUUGAAUGUAUAUAAAAACGAAGCUGCAUAUCUUAUCGACUCCGUUCACUCAUCUAUCCCUAUGUUUAGUCAUGAUUGUGUUGAAUUUAUUCAGGUAAAAUGUCUUAUUCAUGCAGUUAAGGUGAUGCAUUCAAGUCCCGCAGCAA